Raphanus sativus (radish) is the source of this 603-nucleotide long non-coding RNA. RefSeq lists it as uncharacterized. The transcript has 2 exons. The record is from RefSeq and is a predicted model, not a curated record. NCBI's taxonomy places the organism in Eukaryota, Viridiplantae, Streptophyta, Magnoliopsida, Brassicales, Brassicaceae.
AUUGGUGAAUGUGUAAAAGACUCAGCUACCCUCACAUUUACAACAAUCCAUCUCACACUUUCUCUCCGUUGAUACGAUCACCUCCGUCGAUAUCCAUCGCCUAUGUUACUUCCGUCGUCGAUAUUGAUCGCCUCCGUUGCUUCCGUCAUCAAUAUCCAUCGCCUCCGUUGCUUCCGUUUCGAACGAUUCUCUCUCUCACGCCGGCGUCAAAUCGUAUUUCACUUCCAUCCCUCUUCUAUACGAUAUCAUAGCCUCCGUCCAUCGCCUCCAUAUCAAUCAUCGACGGAUUCUCUCUCUCUCACGCUGCCGGAUUCUCUCUCUCUCUCUCUCUCUCACGUCGCCGGAUUCUCUCUCCCACGUCGAGAUCUCCGCCGAGCCAUUCCUCCAAAAUGUCGAUUCCAGAUUCACAAUUUGGUUGUGUUCCCGAGCUUCGGGGAACGUUACCUCUCGACAAUGCUCUUCCAGUCGAUCCGUGAAGAGUGCGACAAAAUGCAGCCUGAGAUUUGAAGUUGUGAACCUCUUUGUUUUUUUUGAACAAAUGUAUAUUUGCGUAUUACAGUGUGCAACGCAAUUGGUGUUUGUUAAUAAAUGCAUAAGGCCUCA